Molecule: long non-coding RNA, 1285 nt
Organism: Malaclemys terrapin pileata
Lineage: Eukaryota; Metazoa; Chordata; Testudines; Emydidae
Exons: 3
Source: RefSeq, a predicted model, not a curated record
CCCACUCCCAGAGCAUGGGGGGGCGAGCCCGGGGCACGCUCCCCACCCCCCGCAGCCACACUGGGUCUGACCCAUGGCCUGGCCAGCCCUGUGCCCUCCCCGCCCUCUUCUCCACUGCCAGCUUCGGGCAGUCACAGGCUAGGGACCCCCAGAACGUGGGGCCUUGACCCCUUGGCUAAGAGCCAUCGAUGGACCAAUGCUCCAGGAACGUACCGAGUUCAGAACACCCCGGCAAGGAUUCCACAGCGUGCCCCUGCACUGCACAAAGACGGACUGGGCUGCCUUUUGUUUUCAACCUGCUGCCUAGUCAUAUCAUCUGGUGACCCUUGUUUUUGUGUUGUGUGAAUGGGUAAAUAACACUUCCCUAUUCACAUUCUCCACAGCAGUUGUAUUUGUGUGGUGAGGAACACGUAUAAUCACUCAUAGACGGCGGCAGCUGUUUUGUUUAUUUUGUUUUAAUCAGGAACAGGAAAACUACAGACAACUGCCUUCUAGCAAGGAGGAAGCUGAACUGAACCUCAAGAAAAUCCGUGUCUCUCUAAAUAACAACUUAUGGAUGGGGCAACCAGAACUGCAUGCAGUGUUCAAGAUGAACAAUGCUGAACCAUACAGUUUACCAACACCCCUACCAGAGAGACCGUGGAAGAGACUAGCUGCAGAUUUAUGCAGAUUCAGAAGACAUCAUUACCUGGUCAUUGUGGGCUAUUUUUCCAGACAUGACUCAGACAACUGCCAGGUCUAGAACUUGGAAACCAUGUUCAUGUCAAAUUGGAUGGAGAAAAAGGAUGGACGACUCCAGCUGGUGUAAAGACAACGAAUUCAGCACCCAAAUCAUACGUAACUGAGGCUGACAGUGGAGAGUUCAACAGAAACCAUCAACAUUUACAGUGUGUUCCUCAGAAAGAAUAAUCAAGAGAGCAAACUCUACAGAUGGUAGGUGCAGAACAAGAAGAUGACUCAGGGAUUCCAAAUCAGCUACAGCCAAUCGUUGCAAUUAAUGGACAGCCAGAUGAACAAGUUGUUACAUGUUCAGGUCAUGUAAUUAGAAACCAGUAUGAUUCAGAGACAGUCAACAGACUGAUACAGACUGAACUUCAAAGUUAGUGAUAGUGUAAAUAUUGUAAGUGGUAGGAAUGUAGAAUGUAUAGGUGAUGUGAUGCAGUGCUAAACUGUAUUGUACUGUUCAGCCAGUAGGUGGCCCUGUGUGUAACAUACACACCCGAAGAAGUGAGGUUUUUACCCACGAAAGCUUAUGCCCAAAUAAAUCUGUUAGUCUUUAAGGCGC